RNAcentral lists this antisense RNA (69 nucleotides) under Micromonospora auratinigra. RNAcentral's name for it is "ASpks TB sRNA". It matches the Rfam family "ASpks TB sRNA". Lineage: Bacteria; Bacillati; Actinomycetota; Actinomycetes; Micromonosporales; Micromonosporaceae. The record is from RNAcentral.
CUUGACCGAACCCAGCCAGAGCGGCUGCUCCCGGUCGCGGCCGUAGGUGGCGAUGAGCGCCUGCGCCUC